Molecule: ribosomal RNA, 439 nt
Filed under: uncultured bacterium
Lineage: Bacteria
Description: partial 16S ribosomal RNA
Rfam family: Bacterial small subunit ribosomal RNA
Source: RNAcentral
CGGGUCGCUGCAGCAGUGAGGAAUAUUGCACAAUGGGGGGAACCCUGAUGCAGCAACGCCGCGUGGAGGAUGACGCAUUUCGGUGUGUAAACUCCUUUUAUAUGUCAAGAAAAUGACGGUAGCAUAUGAAUAAGCACCGGCUAACUCCGUGCCAGCAGCCGCGGUAAUACGGAGGGUGCAAGCGUUACUCGGAAUCCCUGGGCGUAAAGGACGCGUAGGCGGGUUGGAAAGUCAGGUGUGAAAUCCUACAGCUUAACUGUAGAACUGCACUUGAAACUUCUAAUCUAGAGUAUGGGAGGGGGAGAUGGAAUUAGUGGUGUAGGGGUAAAAUCCGUAGAUAUCACUAGGAAUACCUAAAGCGAAGGCGAUCUCCUGGAACAUUACUGACGCUAAGGCGUGAAAGCGUGGGGAGCAAACAGGAUUAGAUACCCUCGUAGUC